Molecule: transfer RNA, 69 nt
Filed under: Marmota marmota marmota (Alpine marmot)
Lineage: Eukaryota; Metazoa; Chordata; Mammalia; Rodentia; Sciuridae
Also listed under: 1 other name
Rfam family: tRNA
About the family: Transfer RNA (tRNA) molecules are approximately 80 nucleotides in length. Their secondary structure includes four short double-helical elements and three loops (D, anti-codon, and T loops).
Source: Rfam by way of RNAcentral
AUGGAUGUGGCUCAGUGGUAGAGUACUUGCCUGGCAUGUGAGGCCCUGGGUUCAAUCCUCAGCAUCAUG